GAAGCAAACUGGUUCUAUCGCUGCUCUUUUUGGGAGGAGAGGAAAGUCCGGGCAACAUAGAGCGACACGCUUCCUAACGGGAAGGAUGUUAUUUUAAAUAGCAGACAGAAAGUGCCACAGAAAAUAUACCGCUUUUCGGAGUAAGGGUGAAAACGUAAGGUAAGAGCUUACGGUCUUGUAUGGUAACAUAUAUUACGGUAAACCUCGUGUGUUGAAAGACCAAAUAGGUUGCGAAAUCCGAAGGCUGCUCGUCUUCUUUCAAUUUAUUGGAAUUCGUAAUGGGUAGGUUGAUUGAGUUUGUCAGCGAUGGCAAAUCUAGAUAAAUGAUAGAAAUUCCACUUCGGUGGUCUACAGAACCCGGCUUACAAGGUUUGCUUCUUUU
This 382-nucleotide RNase P RNA is filed under the name Sphingobacterium detergens. RNAcentral's name for it is "Bacterial RNase P class A". It matches the Rfam family "Bacterial RNase P class A". From Rfam's summary of the family: Ribonuclease P (RNase P) is a ubiquitous endoribonuclease, found in archaea, bacteria and eukarya as well as chloroplasts and mitochondria. Its best characterised activity is the generation of mature 5'-ends of tRNAs by cleaving the 5'-leader elements of precursor-tRNAs. Lineage: Bacteria; Pseudomonadati; Bacteroidota; Sphingobacteriia; Sphingobacteriales; Sphingobacteriaceae. The record is from RNAcentral.